UUCACGGAGAGUUUGAUCCUGGCUCAGGACGAACGCUGGCGGUGUGCUUAACACAUGCAAGUGGUGCGACGAACCAGAGCUUGCUCUGGGGCAAAGCCGCGAACGGGUGAGUAACACGUGGGUAAUCUACCCCGAUGACCGGGACAACCCGAGGAAACUCGGGCUAAUACCGGAUGUGGUGCACAGGCUUAAGCCUGUUCACUAAAGGUAGCUUCGGCUUCCGCAUUGGGAGGGGCCCGCGGCCCAUUAGCUUGUUGGUGGGGUCAAGGCCUACCAAGGCAACGAUGGGUAGCUGGUCUGAGAGGACGAUCAGCCACACUGGGACUGAGACACGGCCCAGACUCCUACGGGAGGCAGCAGUGGGGAAUCUUGCGCAAUGCGCGAAAGCGUGACGCAGCAACACCGCGUGAGGGAAGACGGCCUUAGGG
This 428-nucleotide ribosomal RNA is filed under the name Thermoleophilia bacterium. RNAcentral describes it as "bacterial SSU rRNA". It matches the Rfam family "Bacterial small subunit ribosomal RNA", at positions 1 to 422 of the family's 1533-position model. Lineage: Bacteria; Bacillati; Actinomycetota; Thermoleophilia. The record is from RNAcentral.